Molecule: ribosomal RNA, 622 nt
Filed under: Dyella sp. IBb369
Lineage: Bacteria; Pseudomonadati; Pseudomonadota; Gammaproteobacteria; Lysobacterales; Rhodanobacteraceae
Description: bacterial SSU rRNA
Rfam family: Bacterial small subunit ribosomal RNA
Source: RNAcentral
GCAAUGCCGCGUGUGUGAAGAAGGCCUUCGGGUUGUAAAGCACUUUUAUCAGGAGCGAAAUACUGCCGGCUAAUACCCGGCGGGGCUGACGGUACCUGAGGAAUAAGCACCGGCUAACUUCGUGCCAGCAGCCGCGGUAAUACGAAGGGUGCAAGCGUUAAUCGGAAUUACUGGGCGUAAAGCGUGCGUAGGCGGUUCUUUAAGUCUGCUGUGAAAUCCCCGGGCUCAACCUGGGAAUGGCAGUGGAUACUGGAGAGCUAGAGUGUGAUAGAGGAUGGUGGAAUUCCCGGUGUAGCGGUGAAAUGCGUAGAGAUCGGGAGGAACAUCAGUGGCGAAGGCGGCCAUCUGGAUCAACACUGACGCUGAGGCACGAAAGCGUGGGGAGCAAACAGGAUUAGAUACCCUGGUAGUCCACGCCCUAAACGAUGCGAACUGGAUGUUGGUCUCAACUCGGAGAUCAGUGUCGAAGCUAACGCGUUAAGUUCGCCGCCUGGGGAGUACGGUCGCAAGACUGAAACUCAAAGGAAUUGACGGGGGCCCGCACAAGCGGUGGAGUAUGUGGUUUAAUUCGAUGCAACGCGAAGAACCUUACCUGGCCUUGACAUGUCUGGAAUCCUGCAGA